Molecule: ribosomal RNA, 429 nt
Filed under: Chloroflexota bacterium
Lineage: Bacteria; Bacillati; Chloroflexota
Description: Chloroflexi bacterium partial 16S ribosomal RNA
Rfam family: Bacterial small subunit ribosomal RNA
Source: RNAcentral
UGGGGAAUAUUGCACAAUGGGCGCAAGCCUGAUGCAGCCAUGCCGCGUGUAUGAAGAAGGCCUUCGGGUUGUAAAGUACUUUCAGUCGGGAGGAAGGUGUCAAGGUUAAUAACCUUGGCAAUUGACGUUACCGACAGAAGAAGCACCGGCUAACUCCGUGCCAGCAGCCGCGGUAAUACGGAGGGUGCAAGCGUUAAUCGGAAUUACUGGGCGUAAAGCGCACGCAGGCGGUUGAUUGAGUCAGAUGUGAAAUCCCCGGGCUUAACCCGGGAAUUGCAUCUGAUACUGGUCAGCUAGAGUCUUGUAGAGGGGGGUAGAAUUCCAUGUGUAGCGGUGAAAUGCGUAGAGAUGUGGGGGAAUGCCGGUGGCGAAGGCGGCCCCCUGGACAAAGACUGACGCUCAGGUGCGAAAGCGUGGGGAGCAAACAGG